UACGUAGGGUGCGAGCGUUAAUCGGAAUUACUGGGCGUAAAGCGCACGUAGGUGGUUGAAUAAGUUUGAUGUGAAAGCCCCGGGCUUAACCUGGGAAUGGCGUUGAAGACUGUUCAACUUGAGUCGGACAGAGGGUUGUGGAAUUUCCGGUGUAGCGGUGAAAUGCGUAGAGAUCGGAAAGAACACCAGUGGCGAAGGCGACAGCCUGGGUCCAGACUGACACUGAGGGGCGAAAGCGUGGGGAGCAAACAGG
This 253-nucleotide ribosomal RNA is filed under the name uncultured bacterium. RNAcentral's name for it is "partial 16S ribosomal RNA". It matches the Rfam family "Bacterial small subunit ribosomal RNA", at positions 524 to 776 of the family's 1533-position model. The record is from RNAcentral.